AUGGACACGCGAUCAGAUUCGCUACCGCAGAGCUCUAGCUCCGGAGCGCGCCAAGUUGAAGGCCAAAGUCGAGGUUGGGAUGCCCGAUGCCUGGCGCGGGGAGACGGAGGAAGCAAAGUGCUGGAAGGAAGCAAGACUGGUAGCUGAGAUGAAAGAGGUGGUGGAGGAAUGAAUUGGUUUGGAAAAGUGAAGACAUUUUUGUAGAGGAGAACUGAAUGAGUUGCUGACAAAUGUCAGUAGGACUGCCAGGCAGUGCUGAGGACCUUGUUGAGAGUGACCUUCAAUAUUGCUAAUAAUGAGCCUGGUCAUGUGGUUUUUCUCAAAUAGCAUCCAGCUGACCAGGUGUAACUAAAGAGGUGGCAGCCAGGAGAUUUUCCAGGGCUAGAGUUCUACAAGACAGAGGCAAUGUGAGAGCAUCAAGGCAAGGAAGUUUCUGAUAUCAUUGACUGUGUGGCUGCCAUGCUAGACCUGGGAAUUGAGGCUGGAUAUGGACGGAGGUGAAGGGAGGAUGUGGCAAAUAGAGGAAAAUCUAGGAGUCAAUAACUAGGCAAUGACAAAGAACUGAUGUAUGAAACUAGUUGGGUGAGUGAGCUAGAUGGAUCCAAGGGAGUGUUGGAGAGUGGGGAAUCUGGACUCUGGACUCUGACUUAGGUGAAUGGCAUGAUCAGCCCAGAGUUUGACCAAGAGCAAAAGUGGCUUACGUGGAGUGAAGAGGAAGGUCAUUGGAGAUGAGGAGGUCAAACUGAGGGGCCUUUGUGUUGGAGGAAUUGCCCAUAUAAUGUACUGAAGUCACUGAGGAUGAUGGUGGACCUUCAGGAGAGAGGAGGAUCAUGGGCUAAAGAUUAAAGUCUUCACGACUGCCUGGUGGAAAUACAGUAUUAUAUAAUGACAUGCUACUAUGCAUCUCUACCUAACUCCUCGUCUGGUGAUGCCAUAUUGAAAUCAGCCAUACUGAGAGUAUUUACACACUGCUGAAGUCAGUAAAUGCUACAAAUCAAGGCUUGAAUGUAACCUACAUGAGAAAGAGUUGCCUUGCUCACUGCCGUAUCCCAGUAUCCCAAGAACCUUGGAGAUGCUCUAUGAAUACUGAAUGAAUCUGAGAGGAAACUAGCCCGAAGGGGGAAGGCUCUGGAAGCAAGCCCUCAUGGACCAACGGAGAGUGAGUGUCAUCAUUUUAUGUUUUCUCCAAAUCUUGUAAACAAUGUGUUUUAGUCUUAGCCUGUCAUAUGCAGCUGAAAUCUGGGGCAAAUAAAAUCACAUAGAUGCAUGUGGCUCUGUGUUAUUAUUACAGGCAAGCGAGGUAAAAUUGAAGGAUGCAAACUUGAAGGGCGUAUCACUCUCAGAUUCAUGUAAGUGCAGGGUCAGCCCCGAGAGUGGGCACCUCCUUACAUUUUGUGCCCUGGGAUUCUCCCUUGCUUUACCUUAGCCUUGAUUCUACAGCAGGUCUCUUCCAGGAACUCCCAAUUCCACAGCCUAAUGGACAUCUCCAACUCUAGCAGCUGCUUCUUUCAGACACAGCCAGAGAGCAGCAUAUACAAGAGAAUGCUUAGCUGAGGCAAAGUUUUAUUCACUCUGUCUAGCUUAGAGACAUAAUAAACUCCAGGGGCUGAAUGACGGCUCUAAAUGCUGAGAGAUAGGCCAAAGCAGUAAGAAGGAGGCAUUACUUAUUUUAGAAUAAGCGCCAUGUCAUUACCUUAUUGCUGAAAUCUUGAAGCUCAGGUGUUGACUAUUACUACGAUUAGGUCUGAUGGUAUCGCACACCCAGGAUGCCAACAGCGCCAACUCCCGCUGAUUGAGUUCCCACUGUGUGCCAAGAAAGAAGACACUAGGCCUUCAUGUACAUUGUUUCAUUCAUCAACCAGCACCCUAACUAACUCUCUUUUCUUGGUAUUUCCUGUAUGUCAGAAAAGGAAACUGAAUCUUGGGGAGAUUAAGCAACUCUUUCAAGGUCAACCGGGGAGCGGCAGAACCAGAGUUCGAAGGAAACCUUUCUGAAUCUGACGUCUGCCCCUUCUAAAUUAGGACUCUCAUCUAUCAGCCUGUGAGAAAAAAUACAGAAAGCAUCAUUCAGGCAACACAUGAACUCAAGACACUGAGACUUCGCUAACCUUCCUCGCACACAAGGUCCUAAAGGAACUACCACACGCAUGUCCACAUUUGAUGCACAUAACAGACUCUCACCGCAUUGAAAUAAACCCCAGUAUGAUCAUAAUAGCUUUUUUCUUUCAAUUUUUAUUGAACACAAGUAUUCCGACAGAAUGCAAAGUCAAAAUUCUCAGUUAGUACUCAGUAUUUACACCAGUGAGAAUGGAAACAAAGGUGGUAUCGAUGUUUCACUUGGUAAAAAGUUUUAUAACAAGAGAGAAGGCCCCCGAAGUACAGAAUGCUGGGUAGGGAUGUUAAUGGAGGUCUGAAAACCGCCAUCCAGACAGACAGCCUCAAGUGAAAACCUGGGACUCGGAAGGCUCCAUAGAAAAGUGUGAAAAUAGAGUUCCACCUCCAAAGCUGCACUAUAUACACCACAGCCCUGCAGGGUCCAGUGGCCCUGCUCGUCACACUUGAGUGCUCCUCCAGCAGAACUUGGCCAUGCCGGUCUUCAUGUGAAUACAUAUGUAUGGCACAUACACACAUAGACACAUAGACAUUGGAAACUGGAGUUGAUCCCUCCUUCAAAAAUUAAAAAAGAAAAUUAUAAGCUUUGAUCUCUUAACAUAAAAGAUAAAACAUCUUGGAAUAAAAUGACUCCCUCUUUGAUUUUAGAGAAAGCAUUGCUUUUUUUUUUUUUUUUUUUUUUUUUUUAAAGGAAAAACUCUUGCAUGCUGAGACAAACCUAUGUGUAAUGGGAGAGAACAGACCAAAAUGUGGGCAGAGUCUUAGGUCCUAGCUAAUGGCAGAGCCAGGGUUCUAGGGGGUCAGCUGUCCCGGGCCAGGUGAUCUGAGGGCUGACCUGUUUCUUCCUAACCAUCAGAACCAAAACCAGUUUGACCUAACCACAACCACUUUGACAGUCUUGACAAGGUAUGGCAUGGGCUUGGCCUGGUGUGGCAAAGCCAUCGACAUUACAAGAUGAAGAACUGAGUCCACUGAACAGCCUGGUGACCAGAAGAGCCUGCCCCUCACUGCUGGGCCCUCCCGGUCUCAGACACCCAGGCUCUCACAUUCUACUGUGUGCUCUAAGAUCUCUCUUCAUGUUCCUCUAUUCUGAGGGCCUGUGCAUUUGAACCAGAGAUCUGUGCAGGCCCUAGAAUCAAAGGGGCCAGGGCUGUGUGUUCUGGGAUCCUCCAUUUCCAUCCCCAGGAGCUGAGAAAAUGCAACAUAACCCCACAUUGAGCAAAUGACAAGACCAUUAUUCUUCACAGUUUGAAAUUAUAAUCUAGCAUCGCCACUGAUCAGACUGCAGAAGUGUCAGAACGUUGGGGAGAGUGGCCCACAGAAUGGACCCAGAGGCAGCCUUGCCACCCUAACCUCUUGCUGCUUUGUACCUUAGGAGAGGAGCGCAUGCGGAGUACUGAUUUCUGUUUACUUAGCAUCAUCUUCAUCAUCAUCAUCAUCAUCUGUAUUUCAUUUUCUUUGUUAAAAGGCUUCGAUUCCGUUUGAGUGAUUUUUGUUUCCUGAAUAUUUUUUCUGAACUAUCUGCUAUACCUUCCACAACCAAACUAUGUUGAAGUUUUAUUUCAAUACUAUGACAAAAACACGUUUCACACUAAAAUAUUCACGCAUCCACAGUGCACAAGCUUGCAGUUCUAAAGUAGAAUGAGGGAAAAAAAAGCAAAAUUUCUAUACAAAGGGCUGGCUUUUCCCUUCUCCCCCCCCUCCCAUCCCCCUUAAAGUUUCUGUAUUUUUUCCCCCACUUGGUUUCCAAUCCAGGAAAGUUGUGUUAUGACUCCAGACAGUAGGUUGUUUCUUUCUUCUUUUGUUUCUAUAAAUGCUGCCUAAGUGAACAGAAGGCCGAUGUUACUUUACUUCAACAGAUUUCCAAAAAAAGACACUAAUUCCCUGAAGCACACAUGCUCUUCCGCUCAAAUCUAGAUUCUGGGCUCAAAAGGAAAUGGUAUGUAUAGAUUUUAUUUGGCUUUCUACACAAAGGGGAUGUGUGGGGUAAUAAUGUGUGUUCACCAAGACCAGCCCCAACUAUACAAUCUUCUCUGCUUCAUUCAACAAAGCCUAAGGAGUCCUUCAAAAGAAGGGUGAGAACGCCUGGGAGCAGAUCCCUUUUCACAGAUGCAGGCAGGUGGCGGCUAAUCAGAAAGUGGUCUAACCCCCAAAGAAACACAAAAAUAACCAAAAAUUCAAAAGCAAAACCAUUCCAGAAUGAGAUGGAUUUUCACCUGAGUGGGACCCAGGCAAAAACUGCAGAUCAGAAAAGAGGGGAAGAGCAGCUGUAAACAAUCAUGUUUUGUAAAGUUGUCCUGUGCUAAAGCAAGCGUGGGAUGAUCCUACCUACCUCUAGGUGGUAUUUGUUACCUUAAAAAAUAAAAGGCAGCUAUUUUACACGGACAUUUAAACACAACCAAAGUCAAACAUUUGUCACCUUGUAAACACUGGAAAACAAAGUUGGCAGAAAGAAAGAAAGAAAAAAGAAUGUAAAAGAAAGAAAAAGAAGUCUGAAUACUGCAAAUUGAGAUCUACCCCCAGAAGCUGCAAUUUGGCAUUCGUCCUAUAAAAUAAGAGUCUACGUGGGAAUUGAAUUCAGCUAGAAAGGGUGACACACUUUGCAUACUGAACAAAUACAAAGUGAACAGAAAUUAUAACUUAUUUAUGAGGUUUUACAGAGUUCAAACUUGACUGAAAGUAUAAAAAUAAACUGUGGACUUUGUUCAUUCGAUUAGUCUUAGUGCCUGAAAGUAUUUCUCUGAAACUGGUCUGUGCCAAUCGGGUAACACCAAGUGUGGUCUUCCUGAACCUAGAUUUCGUUUCUGAGCUUCCUAGAUUCUUAAUUUGGGGUCCUUUUGUUUGAUUUUUUAACGGUUUCAGGGAACGGAGUGUCCUAGUUUGGCUGUGGGUUUAACCUUUUUGUCUCAUUUUCUUACAAGUGAGUGUGCAACAAAGGGACCCUUUCUAUAAACCUACAAAAAGGAGAUUCCCAUGUUUUAUCUGUUUAGUUUUUUUUAAAGGCAAAAGACACUAGAGAAAUGAGAUGUGUGUGUGUGCAUGUGUGUUUGUGUGUGUGCGUGCGUGUGUGUGUCUGUGGUGUUGGAAAUGCUCUGGUGAAGCUGCUGUGUCACUUUUUAUUUUGAUCUUUGCUCGGUUCUCUUCACCCAUCAUGCUUUGCUCUCGUUCUCCUUUGUCUGUGUGGCGUCAUUGGGGACCGUCUUGACUUCGGCUGGCGCUGGCUUCGUUUCUGUCUCCUGGCACUCUGGCUUUGCUUCUACGGGGCCCUUCCUG
This 5385-nucleotide long non-coding RNA is filed under the name Homo sapiens (human). RNAcentral's name for it is "non-protein coding lnc-DRD2-1:8". The record is from RNAcentral. Lineage: Eukaryota; Metazoa; Chordata; Mammalia; Primates; Hominidae.